Erinaceus europaeus (western European hedgehog) is the source of this 285-nucleotide unclassified non-coding RNA. Its record names the gene 7SK. It matches the Rfam family "7SK RNA". Rfam says of the family: 7SK was discovered as an abundant small nuclear RNA in the mid-70s but a possible function has only recently been suggested. NCBI's taxonomy places the organism in Eukaryota, Metazoa, Chordata, Mammalia, Eulipotyphla, Erinaceidae. The record is from Ensembl.
GGAUGUGAAGGUGAUCUGGCUGUGACAUCUGUCAUCCCAUUGAUCACUAGGGUUGAGUUGUCUGGCUAGGCAGGUGUCCCCUUCCUCCCUCACCACACCACGUACAUCCCUUCCAAAGCUGUGGACUCAGUCUUCUCUAAAAGGAGACAGACUAGUCUUCAGUUGAGGGUAUAUGAGUAGCAUCACUCCCCUGCUAGAACCUCCAAAAAAGCUCUCAAGAAAAGAACAAAGUGGCAGAUUCAUUGUGCAGACAAGUCCCAUAUCCCUGGUGGCAAAAAUAAAUAG